UUAACACAUGCAAGUCGAAGGGUAUGCUUCUUCGGGAGCAGAGACCGGCGCACGGGUGCGUAACGCGUAUGCAAUCUACCUUUUACAGAGGGAUAGCCCAGAGAAAUUUGGAUUAAUACCUCAUAGUAUAUAGAGUUGGCAUCAACACUAUAUUAAAGUCACAACGGUAAAAGAUGAGCAUGCGUCCCAUUAGCUAGUUGGUAAGGUAACGGCUUACCAAGGCUACGAUGGGUAGGGGUCCUGAGAGGGAGAUCCCCCACACUGGUACUGAGACACGGACCAGACUCCUACGGGAGGCAGCAGUGAGGAAUAUUGGACAAUGGGCGCAAGCCUGAUCCAGCCAUGCCGCGUGCAGGAUGACGGUCCUAUGGAUUGUAAACUGCUUUUGUACAGGAAGAAACACUGGCUCGUGAGCCAGCUUGACGGUACUGUAAGAAUAAGGAUCGGCUAACUCCGUGCCAGCAGCCGCGGUAAUACGGAGGAUCCAAGCGUUAUCCGGAAUCAUUGGGUUUAAAGGGUCCGUAGGCGGUUUAAUAAGUCAGUGGUGAAAGCCCAUCGCUCAACGGUGGAACGGCCAUUGAUACUGUUAAACUUGAAUUAUUAGGAAGUAACUAGAAUAUGUAGUGUAGCGGUGAAAUGCUUAGAGAUUACAUGGAAUACCAAUUACGAAGGCAGGUUACUACUAAUUGAUUGACGCUGAUGGACGAAA
RNAcentral lists this ribosomal RNA (709 nucleotides) under uncultured soil bacterium. RNAcentral describes it as "bacterial SSU rRNA". It matches the Rfam family "Bacterial small subunit ribosomal RNA", at positions 48 to 758 of the family's 1533-position model. The record is from RNAcentral.